CCUAUGGGAGGCAGCAGUGAGGAAUAUUGGUCAAUGGGCGCGAGCCUGAACCAGCCAAGUCGCGUGAGGGAGGACGGCCCUACGGGUUGUAAACCUCUUUUGCCGGGGAGCAACGGGCGCCACGUGUGGCGUAACUGAGAGUACCCGGAGAAAAAGCAUCGGCUAACUCCGUGCCAGCAGCCGCGGUAAUACGGAGGAUGCGAGCGUUAUCCGGAUUUAUUGGGUUUAAGGGGUGCGUAGGCGGAUCGUUAAGUCAGUGGUCAAAUUGAGGGGCUCAACCCCUUCCCGCCAUUGAAACUGGCGUUCUUGAGUGGAAGAGAAGUAUGCGGAAUGCGUGGUGUAGCGGUGAAAUGCAUAGAUAUCACGCAGAACCCCGAUUGCGAAGGCAGCAUGCCGGCUUCCGACUGACGCUGAAGCACGAAAGCGUGGGGAUCGAACAGGAUUAGAUACCCUUGUAGUC
Molecule: ribosomal RNA, 460 nt
Filed under: uncultured bacterium
Lineage: Bacteria
Description: partial 16S ribosomal RNA
Rfam family: Bacterial small subunit ribosomal RNA
Source: RNAcentral